Sorex araneus (European shrew) is the source of this 959-nucleotide long non-coding RNA. RefSeq lists it as uncharacterized. NCBI's taxonomy places the organism in Eukaryota, Metazoa, Chordata, Mammalia, Eulipotyphla, Soricidae. The transcript has 4 exons. The record is from RefSeq and is a predicted model, not a curated record.
UGGAGUGAUCCUCGCAUUCAGAGCCAGGAGUAAGUCCUUAGUGCUGCCUGGUGUAGUCUUCGAACAAAAAUCCUGUCUUUGCAGGAAUAUAGUAUUUUGUAGAAUUCUCCUGUCUUCAGUGACUUCCAACCCCAAGUUUCAGCCUGGUUUAAUUUUUCCAAAGAGAUUCCUUUGUGGGCAAUGGUGAUUUAAAUUUGGUAAUAUGCUUCAUACUUGGACAUUGAAAGCAAAUUCUUUUAUUCUUCACUGAAUUUAAGAGUGCAGUUUCUUCUUAUUUCAUUUCCCAAAUACAGAGCCCGCCAGUCCGCCUGUUCCACUGAUCCUGUUUCCUGACGCAGGCCUGGUUGUCUGUGUCCUGAGGGGUCGGGGGAUGCUUUCCCAGAAUCCAUCGGGGACUGACAGUGCUCCCGGAAGAAGACAGAGGUGCUGCUUUGAAAACAACAGGCUUCUUGGUGACUUUUCACGCAUCGUCCUCCAGGCAGAAGCCAGAAAAGGUGUGCCUUCCCACUGGAGAGACCAAAGCGCUUGGGAGAAAGAAGGUCUGACUAGAUCCUGGAGAUCAUGGGCAGGAUUUUCUACAGAUGCUGGGCAUUUUUAUUGGUGAUCUGCCUUGGAGGAGAACCGUGCACUCAUUGGAGGCAGAGUCUCUUGCCCCCGUGCCUGACUGUCUUCACCGGGGCCCCUCGGAGCUGGUUGAGUUUCCCUUCUUGUCCUGAGCAGAGCCUCGGCAGCUGAAAACCUUUGGAACUCAGCCACAGCCAUACUCAAGGCCCCUCUCCACACAUUAGGAUGAGCCUCACGCAUGAAGGAACCGGCAGAGGAACCCAGGGCAGAGCCUGAAGUUUGGACAGACUUCUCAUGACUGGUCAAGGGGAUGGAUCUAUGUAUUUCAGUAACAUGGCACGAGGAGUGAAGAGAUAAUCUGGUAUGUCGAAUCAAUCAUUAGUUUAAGAUCCUUC